RNAcentral lists this ribosomal RNA (223 nucleotides) under uncultured bacterium. RNAcentral describes it as "partial 16S ribosomal RNA". It matches the Rfam family "Bacterial small subunit ribosomal RNA", at positions 15 to 219 of the family's 1533-position model. The record is from RNAcentral.
GAUCAUGGCUCAGGAUGAACGCUGGCGGCGUGCUUAACACAUGCAAGUCGAACGGAGUGCUCAUGACGGAGUUUUCGGACAACGGAUUGAGUUACUUAGUGGCGGACGGGUGAGUAACGCGUGAGUAACCUGCCUUGGAGUGGGGAAUAACAGUUGGAAACAGCUGCUAAUACCGCAUGAUGCAGUUGAGUCGCAUGGCUCUGACUGCCAAAGAUUUAUCGCU